Molecule: ribosomal RNA, 267 nt
Filed under: uncultured bacterium
Lineage: Bacteria
Description: partial 16S ribosomal RNA
Source: RNAcentral
CUGCUGCCUCCCGUAGGAGUCUGGGCCGUGUCUCAGUCCCAGUGUGGCCGUCCACCCUCUCAGGCCGGCUGCUGAUCGUCGCUUUGGUGGGCCGUUACCCCGCCAACUGGCUAAUCAGACGCGGGCCCAUCCUGUACCACCGGAGUUUUCAAAGGAUUACCAUGCGGUAUUCCCUAUUAUGCGGUAUUAGCACCUAUUUCUAAGUGUUACUCCCCCGGUACAGGGCAGGUUGCCCACGCGUUACUCACCCGUCCGCCACUAAGACAG